RNAcentral lists this ribosomal RNA (314 nucleotides) under uncultured eukaryote. Its description in RNAcentral is "partial 18S ribosomal RNA". It matches the Rfam family "Eukaryotic small subunit ribosomal RNA", at positions 1470 to 1796 of the family's 1831-position model. The record is from RNAcentral.
CCCUUAGAUGUUCUGGGCCGCACGCGCGCUACACUGAACAGUUCAACAAGUCUUAACCUUGGCCGAUAGGUCUGGGUAAUCUUUGAACGCUGGUCGUGAUGGGGAUAGACUUUUGCAAUUUUUGGUCUUCAACGAGGAAUUCCUAGUAAACGCAAGUCAUCAACUUGCAUUGAUUACGUCCCUGCCCUUUGUACACACCGCCCGUCGCACCUACCGAUUGAAUGGUCCGGUGAAGCCUCCGGAUUGGCGCGCACCUCGGUGCCGCCGAGAAGUUGGCUAAACCUUACCAUUUAGAGGAAGGUGAAGUCGUAACA